UUCUGAUAAAUACUGGAUAAGUUAGUAGUAGCAUUACUAAGUAAUGAAAGGGUAGUAAUACGCUAUAUGAGAGCUUUGCAUCCUAUUAGCUAGUUGGUGGGGUAAAAAGCCUACCAAGGCGACAAUAGGUAGCCGGCCUGAGAGGGUGGACGGCCACAAGGGGACUGAGAUACGGCCCUUACUCCUACGGGGAGGCAGCAGUGGGGAAUAUUGGACAAUGGAGGCAACUCUGAUCCAGCAAUUCUGUGUGUGUGAAGAAGGUUUUAGGACUGUAAAACACUUUUAGUAGGGGAAGAAAGAAAUGACGGUACCUACAGAAGAAGCGACGGCUAAAUACGUGCCAGCAGCCGCGGUAAAU
This 358-nucleotide ribosomal RNA is filed under the name uncultured Sneathia sp. Its description in RNAcentral is "bacterial SSU rRNA". It matches the Rfam family "Bacterial small subunit ribosomal RNA", at positions 157 to 525 of the family's 1533-position model. The record is from RNAcentral. Lineage: Bacteria; Fusobacteriati; Fusobacteriota; Fusobacteriia; Fusobacteriales; Leptotrichiaceae.